GACGAACGCUGGCGGCGUGCCUAAUACAUGCAAGUCGAGCGGACCAAACAGGAGCUUGCUCUUGUUUGGUUAGCGGCGGACGGGUGAGUAACACGUGGGUAACCUGCCCGUAAGACCGGGAUAACUCCGGGAAACCGGAGCUAAUACCGGAUAACACCGAAGACCGCAUGGUCUUUGGUUGAAAGGCGGCUUCGGCUGCCACUUACGGAUGGGCCCGCGGCGCAUUAGCUAGUUGGUGAGGUAACGGCUCAUCAAGGCGACGAUGCGUAGCCGGCCUGAGAGGGUGACCGGCCACACUGGGACUGAGACACGGCCCAGACUCCUACGGGAGGCAGCAGUAGGGAAUCUUCCGCAAUGGACGAAAGUCUGACGGAGCGACGCCGCGUGAGCGAAGAAGGUCUUCGGAUCGUAAAGCUCUGUUGUUAGGGAAGAAGAAGCGCCGUUCGAACAGGGCGGCGCGGUGACGGUACCUAACGAGAAAGCCCCGGCUAACUACGUG
RNAcentral lists this ribosomal RNA (499 nucleotides) under uncultured bacterium. RNAcentral's name for it is "partial 16S ribosomal RNA". It matches the Rfam family "Bacterial small subunit ribosomal RNA", at positions 28 to 507 of the family's 1533-position model. The record is from RNAcentral.